UACGUAGGUGGCAAGCGUUGUCCGGAUUUAUUGGGCGUAAAGGGAGCGCAGGCGGUUGAUUAAGUCUGGUGUGAAAGCCCUCAGCUUAACUGAGGAAUUGCAUUGGAAACUGGUCAACUUGAGUGCAGAAGAGGAGAGUGGAACUCCAUGUGUAGCGGUGAAAUGCGUAGAUAUAUGGAAGAACACCAGUGGCGAAGGCGGCUCUCUGGUCUGUAACUGACGCUGAGGCUCGAAAGCAUGGGUAGCGAACAGG
RNAcentral lists this ribosomal RNA (253 nucleotides) under uncultured bacterium. RNAcentral's name for it is "partial 16S ribosomal RNA". It matches the Rfam family "Bacterial small subunit ribosomal RNA", at positions 524 to 776 of the family's 1533-position model. The record is from RNAcentral.